ACGGGGUGCAGCAGGCGCGAAAACUUCACAAUGCGCGAAAGCGCGAUGAGGGAAUCCCAAGUGCUUGCACGUAAGUGUAAGCUGUUUUUAUGUUUAAAACGCAUAGAGAGUAAGGGCUGGGUAAGACGGGUGCCAGCCGCCGCGGUAAUACCUGCAGCUCGAGUGGUGGCCACUAUUAUUGGGCCUAAAACGUCCGUAGCCGGUUUAAUAAAUGCCCGGGUAAAUCGUGUAGCUUAACUAUACGAAUUCCGGGUAGACUGUUAAACUUGAGACCGGGAGAAGUUAGAGGUACUCCUGGGGUAGAGGUGAAAUUCUGUAAUCCUAGGGGGACCACCAGUGGCGAAGGCGUCUGACCAGAACGGGUCUGACGGUGAGGGACGAAGCCCUGGGUCGCAAACCAGAUUAGAUACCCGGGUAGUCCAGGGUGUAAACGCUGCUUGCUUGAUGUUGGUUGGGCUCCGAGCCCAAUC
RNAcentral lists this ribosomal RNA (470 nucleotides) under uncultured archaeon. Its description in RNAcentral is "bacterial SSU rRNA". It matches the Rfam family "Archaeal small subunit ribosomal RNA", at positions 325 to 796 of the family's 1478-position model. The record is from RNAcentral.